GAUGAAGAACGUAGCGAAAUGCGAUAAGUAAUGUGAAUUGCAGAAUUCAGUGAAUCAUCGAAUCUUUGAACGCACCUUGCGCUUUUUGGCCAUUCCAAAGAGCAUGCCUGUUUGAGUGUCAUUGAAUCCUCAAGGCCCCCUUUGCCCUUUGCGGCUUUUGGGGACUUGGAUGUGGGAGCGCUGCGGGAGGCCUACAAGAUUGGCCUCUCGCUCUCCUCAAACGCAUCAGUAGGGCCUCUCGGGUCUUCACGGCGUUGAUAGUCGUCCACGCCUCGUCCCGUUGGGGGGUUCACCUGCUUCGAAAAAAACACCCUUCUCUGACUCUUUUGACCUCAAAUCAGGUAGGACUACCCGCUGAACUUAAGCAUAUCAAUAAGCGGAGGA
RNAcentral lists this unclassified non-coding RNA (384 nucleotides) under soil metagenome. RNAcentral describes it as "partial contains 5.8S ribosomal RNA, internal transcribed spacer 2, and large subunit ribosomal RNA". The stretch from base 1 to 121 matches the Rfam family "5.8S ribosomal RNA", at positions 35 to 154 of the family's 154-position model. The record is from RNAcentral.